GAGUAAUGACGUCACCUGGCAACGCUCGGCUUCUUCUCCUUAGCGACUAGCUUCUGAGUUUCUUCAGCCCAGGAACCCAACUUGUCGCUGUCUCGUUCGUAGCCAGGAAAAGCUGGUGUUUUGACUUGGUUAGGAAUACAGAGAGCUCUUUUAAUUACCUGAUGGAGUUUUAUUCGACGAAGUGAACUGUCAUGCUGUGAACUGCCUAUGUAAAAGGCCAUGUAGCAAGCAAAGAACUGAGGCCCUCACUCCAACAGCCUGCAAGGAACUGAAUUCUGCUAACAACCACAUGAGCCUGGAAGGGGAUCUUUUCCAGUUGAGCUUUCAAAUGAUACUCCAACCAUGGCUGACCCCUUGAUUGUAGCCUUGUGAGAGACCAUGAAGCCAAAGACUCAAUUAAGUUGUGCACAGAUUCCUGACCCACAGAAACAGUGAGAUAAUAAACAUGUUGUUUUAAGCAGCCA
Pteropus alecto (black flying fox) is the source of this 464-nucleotide long non-coding RNA. RefSeq lists it as uncharacterized. NCBI's taxonomy places the organism in Eukaryota, Metazoa, Chordata, Mammalia, Chiroptera, Pteropodidae. The transcript has 2 exons. The record is from RefSeq and is a predicted model, not a curated record.